Molecule: ribosomal RNA, 585 nt
Filed under: uncultured bacterium
Lineage: Bacteria
Description: partial 16S ribosomal RNA
Rfam family: Bacterial small subunit ribosomal RNA
Source: RNAcentral
UGGGGAAUUUUGGACAAUGGGCGAAAGCCUGAUCCAGCAAUGCCGCGUGUGUGAAGAAGGCCUUCGGGUUGUAAAGCACUUUUGUCCGGAAAGAAAUCCUUGGCUCCAAUACAGUCGGGGGAUGACGGUACCGGAAGGAUAAGCACCGGCUAACUACGUGCCAGCAGCCGCGGUAAUACGUAGGGUGCAAGCGUUAAUCGGAAUUACUGGGCGUAAAGCGUGCGCAGGCGGUUUGCUAAGACCGAUGUGAAAUCCCCGGGCUCAACCUGGGAACUGCAUUGGUGACUGGCAGGCUAGAGUAUGGCAGAGGGGGGUAGAAUUCCACGUGUAGCAGUGAAAUGCGUAGAGAUGUGGAGGAAUACCGAUGGCGAAGGCAGCCCCCUGGGCCAAUACUGACGCUCAUGCACGAAAGCGUGGGGAGCAAACAGGAUUAGAUACCCUGGUAGUCCACGCCCUAAACGAUGUCAACUAGUUGUUGGGGAUUCAUUUCCUUAGUAACGUAGCUAACGCGUGAAGUUGACCGCCUGGGGAGUACGGUCGCAAGAUUAAAACUUAAAUGAAUUGACGGGGUCAUAGCUGUUUCCU